RNAcentral lists this ribosomal RNA (1560 nucleotides) under uncultured bacterium. Its description in RNAcentral is "bacterial SSU rRNA". It matches the Rfam family "Bacterial small subunit ribosomal RNA". The record is from RNAcentral.
UUGAUCCUGGCUCAGAAUGAACGCUGGCGGCGUGCUUAACACAUGCAAGUCGUGCGCGAAAGUGGCUUCGGCCAUGAGUAGAGCGGCGAACGGGUGAGUAACACGUGGAUAACCUGCCUCGGUGCGGGGGAUAACCCGGGGAAACCUGGACUAAUACCGCAUGAGCUGCCCGGGCUACGGCCUGGUCAGGAAAGCUGGCCUCUGCUUGCAAGCUGGCGCGCUGAGAGGGGUCCGCGGCUGAUUAGCUAGUUGGUGAGGUAACGGCUCACCAAGGCGACGAUCAGUAGCCGGCCUGAGAGGGUGAACGGCCACACUGGGACUGAGACACGGCCCAGACUCCUACGGGAGGCAGCGGUGGGGAAUAUUGGACAAUGGGCGCAAGCCUGAUCCAGCAACGCCGCGUGGAGGAAGAAGGUCUUCGGAUCGUAAACUCCUGUCAGGAGGGGCGAAGGGCCGUUGGUUAAUAGCCGGCGGUCUUGACGGUACCUCCAGAGGAAGCCCCGGCUAACUCCGUGCCAGCAGCCGCGGUAAUACGGAGGGGGCGAGCGUUAUUCGGAAUUAUUGGGCGUAAAGGGCGCGUAGGCGGCUUCGCAAGUCAAAGGUGAAAUCCCUCGGCUCAACCGAGGAACUGCCUUUUGAAACUGUGUGGCUUGAGGCCGGGAGGGGGCAGUGGAAUUCCCCAGUUGUACGGUGAAAUGCGUAAUUUUGGGAGGAACCACACCAUGGCGAAAGGCGGCUGCCUGGAACCGGUUCUGACGCUUAUUGCGCCGAAAGCGUUGGGUAGCAAACCAGGAAUAAAUACCCUGGUAUCCACCGCUGUAAACAAUGGUACUCCGGUUGUCCGGGUUAUUGACCCCCCGCGGUNCCCUUACUACACGCGUUAAGUUCACCCGCCUGGGGAANUCCNGUCCAAAGGCUGAAACUCAAAGGAAUUUGACGGGGGCCCGCACAAGCGGUGGAGCAUGUGGUUUAAAUUCGAUGCAACGCGAAGAACCUUACCUGGGCUUGAACUGUGCGGACCGUCCUAGAAAUAGGGCUUCCCCUUCGGGGGCUGCCAUAGAGGUGCUGCAUGGCGUCGUCAGCUCGUGUCGUGAGAUGUUGGGUUAAGUCCCGCAACGAGCGCAACCCCUAUCCCUAGUUGCCAUCGGGUCAUGCCGGGAACUCUAGGGAGACUGCCCCGGAAAUCGGGGAGGAGGGUGGGGAUGACGUCAAGUCCUCAUGGCCUUUAUGUCCAGGGCUACACACGUGCUACAAUGGGCGGCACAAAGGGCUGCGAACCCGCGAGGCAGAGCUAAUCCCAAAAAUCCGUCCUCAGUCCGGAUUGCAGUCUGCAACUCGACUGCAUGAAGUUGGAAUCGCUAGUAAUCCCAGAUCAGCAUGCUGGGGUGAAUACGUUCCCGGGCCUUGUACACACCGCCCGUCACAUCACGAAAGUCAGUUGUACCGGAAGCCGGCUGGCACCAACCUUCGGCGAGGGNCCGUCGAUGGUAUGGCUCGGCGACUUGGGGUGAAGUCGUAAACAAGGUAGCUGUAUGGAGAACCUGUGGCUGGAUUANAUCC